GAUGAACGUUGGCGGUGUGCCUAAUACAUGCAAGUCGAACGGAGUUAGUAGCAAUACUGGCUCAGUGGCGAACGGGUGAGUAACGCGUUGGUGAUCUGCCUUGAAGUGUGGAAUAACGUUUCGAAAGGAACGCUAAUACCGCAUGUGCUCUCGAUUUUCAGAAAGUUGAGAGUAAAGGAUUUAUUCGCUUCAAGAGGAGCCUGCGUCCCAUCAGCUGGUUGGUAGGGUAACGGCCUACCAAGGCUAUGACGGGUAGGGGACCUGAGAGGGUCGGCCCCCCACAAUGGAACUGAAACACGGUCCAUACACCUACGGGUGGCAGCAGUAGGGAAUAUUAGAAAUGGACGAAAGUCUGAUCUAGCAACACCGCGUGUGCGAAGAAGGCCUUCGGGUCGUAAAGCACUUUUUGGAAGGAAUAGGAAGGAAUGUACUUCCAGAAUAAGUCUCGGCUAACUACGUG
Molecule: ribosomal RNA, 460 nt
Filed under: uncultured bacterium
Lineage: Bacteria
Description: bacterial SSU rRNA
Rfam family: Bacterial small subunit ribosomal RNA
Source: RNAcentral